This 1030-nucleotide long non-coding RNA is filed under the name Hordeum vulgare. Its description in RNAcentral is "long non-coding RNA (HVUL_LNC002861)". Lineage: Eukaryota; Viridiplantae; Streptophyta; Magnoliopsida; Poales; Poaceae. The record is from RNAcentral.
UCGAUUUGAUCAUGUUCCCUUGCUGGUUUUGACUGGGUGACUGUAUCUGGCCUUCAUAGAUAUAUUGUGCAAGUUCCCCUAAAAAAAGAUAUGCAAGUUGUUGAAUUAUUAUUAUUACUAUCUUAGCUUUUAAACUGCUUGCAGGAUAUAUAGGUAAUAUAUAAGUUUGUUUGGCUAAUAAGCCUCAUGGAGUUAAAAUCAAGCUGGAAGCUAAUAUGGAGGACACUACCUUAAUUUAGUUGUCAAUGUAGUAGUGGUCCGGGUUAUGUUGUCCAAAUGCCUACAGUAUGCAACAUGCAUGCAGUUUAAGCCAUGAAAGUAUUUCGUACUUUUCAUUUUUGUGUUGUAAUAUACAUCUUGCAGAUACACGAUUUUUAACUUGAAGAGUAUGGUCGUUGGACUUUAGUUCAGUACAGAUUUGUUUCAUGAUAAGCUUACCAACUCCAUUUCCAAAUACAUGACGUAGAAAGCAUGUAGUCAAACUUUACCUUUGACCAUUAGUCAAAUCAAAAUAUUUAGUUUUUCUUUGAUAGAAAUUGUAGCAUUAGGUUUGUAAUUCAGAACAGUUUCACUGUAUAUACUUUUUACUUAUAUAUGUUGUGCACUGAGGACUCAAAAUGCAAAACAUUAUCUAUCUUAGAAUGGUGGGAGUAUAUUUGAUUAUGAUUAGUGAUAAGUUGAUAACUGUCGAUAGUCAAUCGGGAAAUUUUAUUGUGAUUAUCUUAAUUUGAUGACCAUAUUAUGAGUCGUGAUUAGCCAAUCAAACCUGCAAGCUCACUUAAUCCUACCUAACAGAUAAAGAACACUGUUUUAUUAAUAGAAUAGUGUGCUUCCCUUUACUGUGAUAUCUUACUAGUCCUAGUCAAUUUGAACAAGUUUAUAACAUGCUCAUUUUAACUUUGGCCAUCCUACACAUCUCUGUGUGCACCUGAUUAGCCUUUGUAAUAUGAAGCUAUGCACUUUGGUUUUCCCUUCGUGACAUGUCUGCUACAAAAACCCGUGUGUAUCCUAAUAUGUUGUUGUCUUCGUG